AGAGUUUGAUCAUGGCUCAGAUUGAACGCUGGCGGCAGGCCUAACACAUGCAAGUCGAGCGGUAGCACAGAGAGCUUGCUCUCGGGUGACGAGCGGCGGACGGGUGAGUAAUGUCUGGGAAACUGCCUGAUGGAGGGGGAUAACUACUGGAAACGGUAGCUAAUACCGCAUAACGUCGCAAGACCAAAGUGGGGGACCUUCGGGCCUCAUGCCAUCAGAUGUGCCCAGAUGGGAUUAGCUAGUAGGUGGGGUAACGGCUCACCUAGGCGACGAUCCCUAGCUGGUCUGAGAGGAUGACCAGCCACACUGGAACUGAGACACGGUCCAGACUCCUACGGGAGGCAGCAGUGGGGAAUAUUGCACAAUGGGCGCAAGCCUGAUGCAGCCAUGCCGCGUGUGUGAAGAAGGCCUUCGGGUUGUAAAGCACUUUCAGCGGGGAGGAAGGCGAUAAGGUUAAUAACCUCAUCGAUUGACGUUACCCGCAGAAGAAGCACCGGCUAACUCCGUGCCAGCAGCCGCGGUAAUACGGAGGGUGCAAGCGUUAAUCGGAAUUACUGGGCGUAAAGCGCACGCAGGCGGUCUGUCAAGUCGGAUGUGAAAUCCCCGGGCUCAACCUGGGAACUGCAUUCGAAACUGGCAGGCUAGAGUCUUGUAGAGGGGGGUAGAAUUCCAGGUGUAGCGGUGAAAUGCGUAGAGAUCUGGAGGAAUACCGGUGGCGAAGGCGGCCCCCUGGACAAAGACUGACGCUCAGGUGCGAAAGCGUGGGGAGCAAACAGGAUUAGAUACCCUGGUAGUCCACGCCGUAAACGAUGUCGAUUUGGAGGUUGUGCCCUUGAGGCGUGGCUUCCGGAGCUAACGCGUUAAAUCGACCGCCUGGGGAGUACGGCCGCAAGGUUAAAACUCAAAUGAAUUGACGGGGGCCCGCACAAGCGGUGGAGCAUGUGGUUUAAUUCGAUGCAACGCGAAGAACCUUACCUGGUCUUGACAUCCACAGAACUUUCCAGAGAUGGAUUGGUGCCUUCGGGAACUGUGAGACAGGUGCUGCAUGGCUGUCGUCAGCUCGUGUUGUGAAAUGUUGGGUUAAGUCCCGCAACGAGCGCAACCCUUAUCCUUUGUUGCCAGCGGUCCGGCCGGGAACUCAAAGGAGACUGCCAGUGAUAAACUGGAGGAAGGUGGGGAUGACGUCAAGUCAUCAUGGCCCUUACGACCAGGGCUACACACGUGCUACAAUGGCAUAUACAAAGAGAAGCGACCUCGCGAGAGCAAGCGGACCUCAUAAAGUAUGUCGUAGUCCGGAUUGGAGUCUGCAACUCGACUCCAUGAAGUCGGAAUCGCUAGUAAUCGUAGAUCAGAAUGCUACGGUGAAUACGUUCCCGGGCCUUGUACACACCGCCCGUCACACCAUGGGAGUGGGUUGCAAAAGAAGUAGGUAGCUUAACCUUCGGGAGGGCGCUUACCACUUUGUGAUUCAUGACUGGGGUGAAGUCGUAACAAGGUAACCGUAGGGGAACCUGCGGUUG
This 1520-nucleotide ribosomal RNA is filed under the name Klebsiella pneumoniae. RNAcentral's name for it is "bacterial SSU rRNA". It matches the Rfam family "Bacterial small subunit ribosomal RNA". Lineage: Bacteria; Pseudomonadati; Pseudomonadota; Gammaproteobacteria; Enterobacterales; Enterobacteriaceae. The record is from RNAcentral.